This 441-nucleotide ribosomal RNA is filed under the name uncultured bacterium. RNAcentral's name for it is "partial 16S ribosomal RNA". It matches the Rfam family "Bacterial small subunit ribosomal RNA", at positions 338 to 795 of the family's 1533-position model. The record is from RNAcentral.
CCUACGGGAGGCAGCAGUGGGGGAUAUUGCACAAUGGGGGGAACCCUGAUGCAGCGACGCCGCGUGGGUGAAGGAGUAUUUCGGUAUGUAAAGCCCUAUCGGCAGGGAAGAAUUUAGACGGUACCUGACUAAGAAGCACCGGCUAACUACGUGCCAGCAGCCGCGGUAAUACGUAGGGGGCAAGCGUUAUCCGGAUUCACUGGGUGUAAAGGGAGCGUAGACGGCCAGGCAAGCCUGGAGUGAAAGCCCGGGGCCCAACCCCGGGACUGCUCUGGGAACUGUCCGGCUGGAGUGCGGGAGGGGCAGGCGGAAUUCCUGGUGUAGCGGUGAAAUGCGUAGAUAUUAGGAGGAACACCGGUGGCGAAGGCGGCUUACUGGACCGUAACUGACGUUGAGGCUCGAAAGCGUGGGGAGCAAACAGGAUUAGAUACCCUUGUAGUC